GGCAAGCGUUGUUCGGAAUUACUGGGCGUAAAGGGCUCGUAGGUGGCCAACUAAGUCAGACGUGAAAUCCCUCGGCUUAACCGGGGAACUGCGUCUGAUACUGGAUGGCUUGAGUUUGGGAGAGGGACGCGGAAUUCCAGGUGUAGCGGUGAAAUGCGUAGAUAUCUGGAGGAACACCGGUGGCGAAGGCGGCGGCCUGGACCAACACUGACACUGAGGAGCGAAAGCCAGGGGAGCAAACGGG
RNAcentral lists this ribosomal RNA (244 nucleotides) under uncultured bacterium. Its description in RNAcentral is "partial 16S ribosomal RNA". It matches the Rfam family "Bacterial small subunit ribosomal RNA", at positions 533 to 776 of the family's 1533-position model. The record is from RNAcentral.